AAUAUUAUGUAAAGAUGAUAUGUAAUUCCAUGCAACAAAGCACAUCAAAGCUGACUGCAGUUUAAAAAAAUACAAAUGUGAUGCAAAUCAUGCAGUGCAAAUUGGGUGGUCAAUGCACAUAUCAUAAACAUAACACAAAUUUUUAUCCUCCUUUUUACAGUUCUCUUAAUUCACUCAUUUUCUACUAUUAUGUCAUGUAAUUUGAACAUGCAAUAUGGCUUUGAUUUCAGAAAGGGAUAACAAUCACUUUUAAUUUAUUCUUUUUUAGUGAAAUGUUGAUGAGAAUAUGUAUAGAUGAAAAAAAAAAACUUAAAGAUUCAAAUAAAAUGUGCUCUAUAUUAUUGGGCCCUUAAUUUAGAAAUUUCAUAAAGGUUAUCUUAAUCCAGGAUUAAUAAAUCAUUAUAUCUUAUUACCAAAUCAUUUAAUAUAAAUUUAGAAAUGGUACAAUAUCUGCAAUGAUAGUUUAUUACCAUGCAUCCAUCGCCUUUAAAAGUCCAAGAGAAUUUUAGAAGUCAGAUGGAAAUCAUUUUAAAUAAGUUCAUUACAAAAUGACACAUCAUCCCUUUCUGAAGUAUAUAUUUUUUUUUUCUUUUCAGAUCACUACAUUAGAAUACCUCAUCCCCUGCUUACAUUAUAUGCAUCUCCAAUGGCAAUGAUCAUGAAAACAAUAACAAAUGAAAAUCAUAAAGAUAAUGAUAAUAUAAAUAAAUCAACACAUGUGAAUGAAGAAACAAAAGGACGGCAACAAAAACAAGGAUGAUAACAGAAAAUAAGGCAGUUUUUAUUGACUGGCUAAUUGUUUUUGGUGACAAUAUUCUUCUUCAGGAUCUGUGCUUCUUCAGCUGGAAGUUCCACAAAUAGAAAACAAAGAUGGACAACGAUUAUUUUGUUUUGGUAAGAUUUUAUCUCCCAUUUUAUUCCUCAGAGCAAGAUAAAAACUGUUCAGAGGCAUUAGUUCUCUCUCAUCUAUGUAACAAGAGAGAGGGAAAAAAUCACUGCCUUUCAUGUUCUUACAGAUUCCACUAUCUUGAUCUUGGUUAAAACAUGACAAAGUAAAUACAAAAUGAGACAAAAUAGUAUUGAACUAUUGACAAUGUCUUAAAAUCUGAAGGAGUCAAAUUUGGUGAAGUGUACACACAAAAAUUAAUAUCUCACCACUGGAUAAGUUUUAACCAAUAAAGAGAAUUUCAUCUCAGUAUGAAUGAAUCAACUACAACUAAAAUAAUGAACAAAUAAAUAAUAAAUCAAAUAAACCAUGACAUUACACAAUGUGAAAGAUGUAUAAAAUUCUAAUUGGAGAUUUCUUGAAAAUUCUUGAAAUAAAAAUUUGUUGAAAUUUAAAGAUAAAUGAUGUUUGGUAAUGAAAGUUUGAUGACAUAAGACCAAACAGAUAUAUUAGAUAACCAUUGGACCACAUUAUAUGGAUAAUGAUGAAGAGAUGCAAUAAGUUUAAAUGUGAGAAUAUGAUAAUUGCUACUCCCUUUUAAUAAGAAGGUGGAAAUUUGAAAUGCUCUGUACUUUUAUUAAUGUAUUAUGAAAACAGAAUAUAUGAAAAUGCUUAAAUGACUAAAUGUGGAACAAAUGCCCUGGAAAUGUGUACAUUUAUCACUUAAUGAGGCCCCCAAAACCCUUCCUUCCACUAAAAUAUACAUAUGAAACUACAUAGAGAAUUGCUCUGAACUUGUCAGCAACUAUAAACAUCUUCUUUCUCAUUAUCUAGUGAUCAAUGAAAACUUAACAAUCCAGUUGGAAGAAUAGUUCCAAGUUGUUUGUUUAUCAUUUACAAUUCUUUUACUUUCAUUUAUUUUCUAAUUGCGAUUUAUAUAAUUUAUUUCACUUUUUUCUUGCUUUUUUUUUUUUUUACUUUGAAACACAGAAAAAAAAUUUGUUGCCUUCAGUAAUCACUUACAUACAAUAAUCAAUUAUAAUAUAAUUUUACUGAUUUCUACAAAUACAAAACCUAUAUAGACAACUUAUUAUCAAAACAUAUCUGGGCAUUUGCACAUAAAAACAAUACAAUCUUACAACAAACAUUUCCUUCAUCAAGCAUUUUAAUUGGAUAAUAGAUGCUAACAAAUAUUGUUUAAAGAAAAGAUUGAUCUAUACAAGUUAAUUAUUCAUUAAUCUUUUUCUCUUUUUUUUCUCAAAUAUGAUCUGGAUGUUUUAUAAUAACCCCUUUCCUACUUUCUUUUCUGGGUAGGCAUGGGAGUAUUGUUCCCACAUUGCUAUAGUUACAUUGAACAAGACUGAUAUUUUUUUUUAAUUCAAUAAUAAAUAUAAUAGCAUACACAGCAAAGUCAUUUAGUUAAAAAAAUGAAAUAAAUUGAAAGUCAAGGUUAAGUUAUGCUUUGUAAUAAUAAAUAUUCAAAAACCUUUGGGGUUUAUUUCCUGUUUGGUUAAGUGAAUAGUUAGUGGGGAGUCACACAGGGAUAUGAAAUCACUAGAGAAUAUAUUCAUAAUGGAAUAAGAUGCACAAAGGAAGAAAUACAUUUAGCAAAUUCCCUAUUCACCAUGUUUAAAGUUCACAACAUGUCUUCCUAAUGCAUAGUUGGAAAUAAAUCAAAUUAUCAUAGAUAUUUCAAAAUAUUGCAAACAGGAUGUUUAUCAUUGAAUCAGUGCUUUGAAUUCCACAUGCAAUUGCUUUUAAUAAAAUUAGAGAAUUUGACAGAAAAGUAUGGAACUCAAUUUCCAAAAGCUGAUUGUAUUAAAAAGAUUCAUAGUAACUGAGAUAGUGUUUAAAACAUGUGAAUCUUGACCUACACAGAUGCUUUUUUUCUUUCUAAGCCUGAGAAAAAUUGAAAUGAACCUAAUUCUGCAAUUUUUCAGGUCCACAACAGACGCAUAAUAUACAUAUAUAUGUUACCACGAAUCCAGCCUUUUUGCCCAACAGUCAAAUUUCACACUACUCUAUCUACAUUCUCUUCAAAAAAGCUAAUAGCUAUAUGGAUUUUUCUAAAAGAUGACAUCAAUUUCAUGUUCACAUAUAUUCAAAAAUUCAUCUAUGUACAAGGCAAUAUAUUAGAUUUUUUCUUAUCUCUUUUUCAUUUCAUUGCGAUAAAAUGCCUUCAUUCUUAGCGCUAUAAAGAUAGACAAAUUUAAAGCUGCAAGUAUUUUCAGCUUAUCCAGAAUUUUUUUUACGAGAAAGAUACAUUGACUUUAAACUUCAUAUCAAAAAGAUUAUACAUAUGCUUUUUAAUUCUUGUAUUUGACAAAAAUUCAGCUAGCUCUGUCAGUAAGCUCAUGUCAUAUACACCGUAUUAAUGGCAUUUGCAAUAGGGUUAGGGUUGUUUCCUCUCAAAAACCCGAAGGUUGUAACUUAACACAAACGCAAAGCCCUUCUGAUCCUCAGCAUUAACAAUGAUCUAUCUAAAGUGAAAUCAGAGUGUCAUUCAUACCAUAAUGACAGGUUGUGAAGUCUCCAAUAAUACAAUCAUUUUAAUCCAGAUAACUAUUCAUGACUUAAAUACCAGUCUUUCUGAAAGGAAAAAAAUAGCAACCUCAUUUUGUCCAAGACAUCUGACUUUGUUUUGCAUGCAAUGAUUUUUUAAUGACAUUACUGUGACUUUGUAGACCAUUUGAUAUUCAACAGUUUGAAGGUACUUUUGUACACAUCCAGAUACAUAAAGACUGCUCAAAUAUUUCAAAAAAUUGAGUGGAUAAAAAUUCAUCUGACCACAGAAAACAAUAAAAACUAACAUGAAUGGGAUUUGAUCUGAAUUGUUUUCCAUACAUGUAGAUCUAAAGGACUCCAGUACAUUUUCUGAUUAAUGAAAACUUAGCAGCAAAAUGUUCAUAGAAUGUUAUCUGGAAUAAGAUGGAUUAGAUUAUCAUUGACCAUCACCAUAUGAUAGAAUAAUAUAAACAAAGAUUUUCAAAACUCUGACAAAAGAGGCUAAAGAACCAAAAGCUACUUUGAAUUCUGAGAAUUUUCUUUUCUCUCAAGAUUUCAUUAUUAUUAUUUUUUUUUUGCAACCCGGUGAGCAAACCUGAGAAAUAUCAGUGAAAUUUCAAUUGGUGUCUUUUCAUAGCUUUUACAUGAGAAGGUAAAACUCUAAGUGGGGUCAGAAACUAGGGUGUGUAAUAGAAAAAUGUGAAGGUACAUAAACUUAUUGUAGUGAAAAAAAAAUCAAGAUUAAGAAUGAUAGACCUGUCAAGGAUAUUUUCCUCCAGUAAGUUUUGAUUAAAAAAAAAAGCACCAUUAGUCGGGCUUAAUUUGAGGGGGGAAGGCAGUUUCAUUAGUUUGAAGAAAGACUUAAAUGGGAGGGGAAAAAGGAAGGGAUUCCCACUUUGAAUAAUACACAACACUCCCCAGUAGAAGCUCAUGAAAAAACACCUAAUGAAAUUAAAAAGCAUGCUGUUAUUGUAUGAUGCAAGCCAAUAUCACCCAGGUUUCAGCUCUAAUGGUAAAGACCAGGAAUUUAGUUUGUCACAUUUAUUUGUCAGAAUAGACAGAAAAUCAUAUUCUAAUCUGCUUUAGAAAAAUGUUACCAAAAUGUUAGAAUAUAAAACAAAACAAACGGCAGAUAUUUGCUCUUUCAUUUUCGUAAUCUGUUCAUAUAAAACAUGCAAUUCUGUAACCUCCAU
Molecule: long non-coding RNA, 4584 nt
Organism: Lytechinus pictus (painted urchin)
Lineage: Eukaryota; Metazoa; Echinodermata; Echinoidea; Temnopleuroida; Toxopneustidae
Exons: 2
Source: RefSeq, a predicted model, not a curated record